GAAGCCUCUGGCAGGUGAGAGUACCUCUUACUCAUCUCUAAAUUCCUUCCUGGGUCCAGCCCAGGAUCCUGGACAAAGGAAUUUUUCUGACUCAAGGACUCUGGCAGGCUGAGUUGAGCUCCUUCCCACAUUCCAGGCCAUUCCCACCCUAUCCAAGUGCAUCAAGACCUCCAGGGGGCCAGAGAUGCAGAACCUGAAGCCCAGAGCCGGGACAUUAUUUAUCUAAGGCUUUCGAGUCUAAUCUUUGAAAAGGAGAGAAUCCCAAGCCAGGGGCACAGUGUUGAUGACUGGCUGGAUGAGGACAGGAGGUGAAAGAGGGAGGUAAAACCAAUUGCUGUGUAUUUUUAAAAUAACUACUGUCCAAGAGUUUUUGGU
Molecule: long non-coding RNA, 375 nt
Organism: Mustela lutreola (European mink)
Lineage: Eukaryota; Metazoa; Chordata; Mammalia; Carnivora; Mustelidae
Exons: 3
Source: RefSeq, a predicted model, not a curated record